CACGCCGUAAACGAUGAGUACUAAGUGUUGGAGAAAUUCAGUGCUGCAGUUAACGCAAUAAGUACUCCGCCUGAGUAGUACGUGCGCAAGCAUAAAACUCAAAGGAAUUGGCGGGACCUCGCACAAGCGGUGGAUCAUGUUGUUUAAUUCGAGGAUACGCGAAGAACCUUACCAGGCCUUGACAUCCCUUGCGAAGCUAUAGAGAUAUAGUAGAGGUUAUCAAGGAGACAGGUGG
This 235-nucleotide ribosomal RNA is filed under the name uncultured Acholeplasma sp. RNAcentral describes it as "partial 16S ribosomal RNA". It matches the Rfam family "Bacterial small subunit ribosomal RNA", at positions 796 to 1041 of the family's 1533-position model. The record is from RNAcentral. Lineage: Bacteria; Bacillati; Mycoplasmatota; Mollicutes; Acholeplasmatales; Acholeplasmataceae.